GUCUCUUUGAAUUUUUUUAAUAAAGAGUUGGGCCUGCUCGGUGAUUAAUAUUUAACAGCUGCGGUAUUAUAACUGUACUAAGGUAGCAUAAUAAUUUGCCUUAUAAAUUGAGGCUAGAAUGAAUGGUUUGACGAAAAUUAUACUGUCUCUGUCUUAUUUAUUAGAAGUUAAUUUUUAUAGUGAGAAAGCUUGGAUGAUUUAAAGGGACGAAAAGACCCUAUUGAGCUUUAUAUUAUACUUUAAAUUUGAUUGUUGUAUUUAUUGAAAUAUAAUUUUGGUUGGGGUGAUCAAGGAAUAAAAAUAAUAUAUAUAUAUAUAUUAACUUCCUUAUUUGUUAUUUUUAUAAGAAAAUAAACCAAUAUUUUUGCUUAGAAGAUAAGUUACCAUAGGGAUAACAGCGUAAUUUUUUUUGAAAGUUCAUAUUGAAAAAAGAGAUUGCGACCUCGAUGUUGGAUUAAAAUAACCUUAAGGUGGAGAGGCUUUAGUAGGUGAAUCUGUUCGAUUUUUAAAAUUUU
This 515-nucleotide ribosomal RNA is filed under the name Amphioctopus kagoshimensis. RNAcentral's name for it is "partial 16S ribosomal RNA". It matches the Rfam family "Bacterial large subunit ribosomal RNA", at positions 1817 to 2597 of the family's 2925-position model. Lineage: Eukaryota; Metazoa; Mollusca; Cephalopoda; Octopoda; Octopodidae. The record is from RNAcentral.